RNAcentral lists this ribosomal RNA (602 nucleotides) under Acinetobacter baumannii OIFC143. RNAcentral describes it as "bacterial SSU rRNA". It matches the Rfam family "Bacterial small subunit ribosomal RNA", at positions 232 to 825 of the family's 1533-position model. Lineage: Bacteria; Pseudomonadati; Pseudomonadota; Gammaproteobacteria; Moraxellales; Moraxellaceae. The record is from RNAcentral.
UAAGUCGGAUUAGCUAGUUGGUGGGGUAAAGGCCUACCAAGGCGACGAUCUGUAGCGGGUCUGAGAGGAUGAUCCGCCACACUGGGACUGAGACACGGCCCAGACUCCUACGGGAGGCAGCAGUGGGGAAUAUUGGACAAUGGGGGGAACCCUGAUCCAGCCAUGCCGCGUGUGUGAAGAAGGCCUUAUGGUUGUAAAGCACUUUAAGCGAGGAGGAGGCUACUUUAGUUAAUACCUAGAGAUAGUGGACGUUACUCGCAGAAUAAGCACCGGCUAACUCUGUGCCAGCAGCCGCGGUAAUACAGAGGGUGCGAGCGUUAAUCGGAUUUACUGGGCGUAAAGCGUGCGUAGGCGGCUUAUUAAGUCGGAUGUGAAAUCCCCGAGCUUAACUUGGGAAUUGCAUUCGAUACUGGUGAGCUAGAGUAUGGGAGAGGAUGGUAGAAUUCCAGGUGUAGCGGUGAAAUGCGUAGAGAUCUGGAGGAAUACCGAUGGCGAAGGCAGCCAUCUGGCCUAAUACUGACGCUGAGGUACGAAAGCAUGGGGAGCAAACAGGAUUAGAUACCCUGGUAGUCCAUGCCGUAAACGAUGUCUACUAGCCGUUG